ACAGAACUCAUUUUGCAGGACUCCACCCGAGCAGCUCAUUUCCUCACAAUCUUCAAGAAACAUCUGGAGUCGGAACCCUUCUUUCAUUGGCACUUUUGUUCGACGGAAGACACAGCUCCCUCACAAUCUUCAAGAAAUAUUCCUAGACGCAUCUCUUCUGCACACAGAUCUCAGACCAGGACCUCCAUUAGCAGGUAAUUGCGAAUUAUGAUGACUGUAAUA
Sinocyclocheilus grahami is the source of this 222-nucleotide long non-coding RNA. RefSeq lists it as uncharacterized. Lineage: Eukaryota; Metazoa; Chordata; Actinopteri; Cypriniformes; Cyprinidae. The transcript has 3 exons. The record is from RefSeq and is a predicted model, not a curated record.